GCCAGACUCCUACGGGAGGCAGCAGUGGGGGAUAUUGCACAAUGGGGGGAACCCUGAUGCAGCGACGCCGCGUGAGUGAAGAAGUAAUUCGUCAUGUAAAGCUCUCUCAGCAGGGAAGAAUAAAUGACGGUACCUGAGUAAGAAGCCCCGGCUAACUACGUGCCAGCAGCCGCGGUAAUACGUAGGUGGCAAGCGUUAUCCGGAUUUACUGGGUGUAAAGGGCGUGUAGGCGGGAGAGCAAGUCAGACGUGAAAUUCCAGGGCUCAACCCUGGAACUGCGUUUGAAACUGUUCUUCUUGAGUGAUGGAGAGGCAGGCGGAAUUCCGUGUGUAGCGGUGAAAUGCGUAGAUAUACGGAGGAACACCAGUGGCGAAGGCGGAUUGCUGGACAGUAACUGACGCUGAGGCGCGAAAGCGUGGGGAGCAAACAGGAUUAGAUACCCGAGUA
This 447-nucleotide ribosomal RNA is filed under the name uncultured bacterium. RNAcentral describes it as "bacterial SSU rRNA". It matches the Rfam family "Bacterial small subunit ribosomal RNA", at positions 330 to 792 of the family's 1533-position model. The record is from RNAcentral.